AGAUUGAACGCUGGCGGCAGGCUAACACAUGCAAGUCGAGCGGUAGAGAGAAGCUUGCUUCUCUUGAGAGCGGCGGACGGGUGAGUAAUGCCUAGGAAUCUGCCUAGUGGUGGGGGAUAACGUUCGGAAACGGACGCUAAUACCGCAUACGUCCUACGGGAGAAAGCGGGGGACCUUCGGGCCUCGCGCCAUUAGAUGAGCCUAGGUCGGAUUAGCUAGUUGGUGAGGUAAA
This 232-nucleotide ribosomal RNA is filed under the name uncultured soil bacterium. Its description in RNAcentral is "partial 16S ribosomal RNA". It matches the Rfam family "Bacterial small subunit ribosomal RNA", at positions 26 to 261 of the family's 1533-position model. The record is from RNAcentral.